GCGAGAUUAGUAUAGUGGUAGUACAUUAGCUUCCCAAGCUGAUAGCGCGGGUCCGAUUCCCGUAUCUCGCUCCA
This 74-nucleotide transfer RNA is filed under the name Candidatus Pacebacteria bacterium RIFCSPHIGHO2_01_FULL_46_16. RNAcentral's name for it is "tRNA-Gly". It matches the Rfam family "tRNA". Rfam says of the family: Transfer RNA (tRNA) molecules are approximately 80 nucleotides in length. Lineage: Bacteria; Bacillati; Minisyncoccota. The record is from RNAcentral. RNAcentral also lists the same sequence under 1 other name.